GGCUUAUCUUUCAAGAAACAGAAAGAUUUAAGCGAGCACAGGUUCUUUCCCUAAACUGAGAACUGAUGGCUCAUGUCUGGUAAGAGUCUGUCUCAGUGGGGUUUUGACCAGCAGCUCAAAAGUCCAAAGUAAGGGAAAGAGGGACAGAGCCUGUCUUCUCCCGAGAAGGCUUAGCAGGUGGACUGCAAAGGUUCUGUCCAAGCCUGAGCUCCCUCUGGGAUUGUAGUUCCAAAAGGCUUUGCGAAGGAAGAAGAGUUGUAGAAAUGAGUUAAAAGAUGACAGUGCAAUGAUCGCGCAGAAUCCAGUAUGAGUCCUCAGCCCAAAGGAACUGUAAGUCUCCACUGGAAACCUCACCCCGCCUCCCCCGCUCGGGGCCUCACCUCCGACCCGGACUUAAGAUGAUGCACAUGCAUCAAAACCCCAAGAGCAAGGGACCCAGCCUUUGCCUGUAACUGUGGGGGCUGCCAAGCCGGGAAAGAAAUCUAAGCCACAUGUGCCGGGGGUUUCGCCUGCUCCGAGGGACACAGGGACAGCGCGGGAAGGGAAGUAACCUCCAGUCAAUGACCACCAGAGCCGGACGUGAGGAGGUGCAGACCUUUGCCAAAGGAGCCUGUCAGAAGAACCAUCCAGAAAAACUAUGAAUUCACACCUUCAUGCCAAUUCUUGAGUCCUAAUUCUAGAAACAAGGUCAGAGUUAAAGAAAAAAAGGAAGAGCUCAACAAUGGGAUAGAAACCCAGGUUAAAGACCAGACAGCCCCUCCCAAGAAGAAGCACUGCAUUAAAGGAAUUCAGUUAUCACACAACAAUGUGUGAGGAAUUCUCCUGUGAUUUUCUAAGUCCCUUUGCAGGUCCCUCCACCACUUCGUACACAUCAGCUCACCUUUUCAGAAAUUACUUAGGAGAAACCCCAGGUACUGCGCAGGACAGGCAGGCUGCAGAGAGACCUGACGUCCUUAUGGGUUCACACCCCUCAUCCUCAGCUGGGUGCUUCCCGCUGCUUGCUGUGGUUGCUUGCCUCCAUCACACCUGCAUCCCCCGUUGUCCUCAUGUACACAAGUGGGGCCCCGGAGAUCUGUGAGGCCAGUGGAGGGCUGCAGUUCAACCCCCAAACUCCAUAUUCAUGGAAGCCGCUGCCAACUCCUAACCCUCCUGCACCUCCA
This is a long non-coding RNA of Fukomys damarensis (Damara mole-rat), 1160 nucleotides long. RefSeq lists it as uncharacterized. The transcript has 6 exons. Lineage: Eukaryota; Metazoa; Chordata; Mammalia; Rodentia; Bathyergidae. The record is from RefSeq and is a predicted model, not a curated record.